GCGGGAAGAAGCUCAAAUUUAUAAUCUGGCACCUUCGGUGUCCGAGUUGUAAUCUCUAGAAAUGUUUUCCGCGUUGGACCGCACACAAGUCUGUUGGAAUACAGCGGCAUAGUGGUGAGACCCCCGUAUAUGGUGCGGACGCCCAGCGCUUUGUGAUACAUUUUCGAAGAGUCGAGUUGUUUGGGAAUGCAGCUCAAAUUGGGUGGUAAAUUCCAUCUAAAGCUAAAUAUUGGCGAGAGACCGAUAGCGAACAAGUACCGUGAGGGAAAGAUGAAAAGCACUUUGGAAAGAGAGUUAACAGUACGUGAAAUUGUUGGAAGGGAAACGCUUGAAGUCAGACUUGCUUGCCGAGCAAUCGGUUUGCAGGCCAGCAUCAGUUUUCCGGGAUGGAUAAUGGUAGAGAGAAGGUAGCAGUUUCGGCUGUGUUAUAGCUCUCUGCUGGAUACAUCUUGGGGGACUGAGGAACGCAGUGUGCCUUUGGCGGGGGUUUCGACCUCUUCACACUUAGGAUGCUGGUGGAAUGGCUUUAAACGACCCGUCUU
This 542-nucleotide ribosomal RNA is filed under the name Rhodotorula mucilaginosa. RNAcentral describes it as "partial large subunit ribosomal RNA". It matches the Rfam family "Eukaryotic large subunit ribosomal RNA", at positions 97 to 655 of the family's 3401-position model. The record is from RNAcentral. Lineage: Eukaryota; Fungi; Basidiomycota; Microbotryomycetes; Sporidiobolales; Sporidiobolaceae.